GACAUGUUGGCAGUGUGGUUAACGCAAUGGACUGCUAGUCCAUUGUGCACUGCAUGAGUGGGUUUGAAACCCAUCCUCGUCG
Danio rerio (zebrafish) is the source of this 82-nucleotide non-coding RNA. The record is from Rfam. NCBI's taxonomy places the organism in Eukaryota, Metazoa, Chordata, Actinopteri, Cypriniformes, Danionidae.